Molecule: ribosomal RNA, 253 nt
Filed under: uncultured bacterium
Lineage: Bacteria
Description: partial 16S ribosomal RNA
Rfam family: Bacterial small subunit ribosomal RNA
Source: RNAcentral
UACAGAGGGUGCUAGCGUUGUUCGGAAUCAUUGGGCGUAAAGGGCGUGUAGGCGGUUUGUUAAGUCAUGUGUGGAAUCCCUCGGCUCAACCGGGGAACGACGCAUGAAACUGGCAAGCUAGAGUACCAAAGAGGGGGGUGGAAUUCCCGGUGUAGCGGUGAAAUGCGUAGAUAUCGGGAAGAACACCAGUGGCGAAGGCGGUUCUCUGGGACGGUACUGACGCUGAGACGCGAAAGCGUGGGGAGCGAACAGG